Molecule: long non-coding RNA, 346 nt
Organism: Zophobas morio
Lineage: Eukaryota; Metazoa; Arthropoda; Insecta; Coleoptera; Tenebrionidae
Exons: 3
Source: RefSeq, a predicted model, not a curated record
AAUCAGUGGAGUUAUUUAGCAAUCAUCACACUAUUAGUUUAAUAAUUGGUUUUAAAAUGAUACCAGCUGUUAGAAAAGUAGUGAGAAUAAAAAUUCCUCAUUCUCUUCAUGAUGAUGAAAGUGAAGUUUGUGUUAUAACUAAAGACCCACAAGCUGAUUACAAAAAACUUUUUAAAUCCAAGAACAUAAAAGUCAUUAAGAAGGUCAUGAGUGUUUCUAAACUUCAGAAAAAAUACAAACCAUAUGAAGCUAAAAGAAAUCUUUGCAAGUCAUACGAUCUUUUUUUGGCAGACAAACGGAUUUAUUACAAACUUUCAACCCUUCUUGGAAAAUAUUUUUAUAUAAG